AACGAACGCUGGCGGCAUGCCUAACACAUGCAAGUCGAACGAGACCUUCGGGUCUAGUGGCGCACGGGUGCGUAACGCGUGGGAACCUGCCCUUAGGUUCGGAAUAACUCCCCGAAAUGGGUGCUAAUACCGGUUAAUGUCUUCGGACCAAAGAUUUAUCGCCUUUGGAUGGGCCCGCGUUGGAUUAGCUAGUUGGUAGGGUAAAAGCCUACCAAGGCGACGAUCCAUAGCUGGUCUGAGAGGAUGAUCAGCCACACUGGGACUGAGACACGGCCCAGACUCCUACGGGAGGCAGCAGUGGGGAAUAUUGGACAAUGGGCGAAAGCCUGAUCCAGCAAUGCCGCGUGAGUGAUGAAGGCCUUAGGGUUGUAAAGCUCUUUUACCCGGGAUGAUAAUGACAGUACCGGGAGAAUAAGCUCCGGCUAACUCCGUG
Molecule: ribosomal RNA, 433 nt
Filed under: uncultured bacterium
Lineage: Bacteria
Description: partial 16S ribosomal RNA
Rfam family: Bacterial small subunit ribosomal RNA
Source: RNAcentral